Molecule: long non-coding RNA, 1366 nt
Filed under: Lynx canadensis (Canada lynx)
Lineage: Eukaryota; Metazoa; Chordata; Mammalia; Carnivora; Felidae
Description: lncRNA (ENSLCNG00005019963.1)
Source: RNAcentral
UCUGGCUGGAGAAAAGGGGCAGGUGGAAGCCAGCCAGACAGAGUGACAUGGCAACACUGGAGCAGUGGCAGAAAAGGAGCUAGGCCAGAGUGGGGUCUUGGCUGGGAGGUCCAGCAAGAGACCAGCCAGGACAAUGGAAGGCAGCAUUUGAAUCCUUGGAGCAGUUUCCUCUCCCAACACCCUGAAGGAUGCCUUCCCUUUCUACACGCCCAUGUCAGAGGAGAAGAGACGUGCUGUGAUCCCGAGGCCUGGACAGCAGCAGGGAAAAGAAGCCGGCCUGCCAUUUCCUUUGCAUCACCCCUCCCUCUAGGCCCUGAGAACCACUCUAUACUAACCACUCUAUACUCCUGGCUUCCACACCAGCUUGUUCUAUCUCCUCUCAUUGCGGGGGAGGGCUGCAAUACAGUAAGGCCCAAACUCUAUGGUAGAAGACAUUGCGCCCCUACCUCUCCUCCCCUCUCUCCUGGCAAAGGCCAGAUGAGUGCAAGAGUGAGACCAAAAGCUGGAAAAUUUAGGGGGUCCAAUAUCUGGCACAUAUUAAAUGCUUUAAAAAAAAAAAAGGUAUCAAAAGAAUGAAUAAAAGUAGGAGAAACUCUGAAAAACAACCUGGAGAAGGUGUCAGUUUCUUUUUCUACUUCUUGCCUCAGCUACGAAGGGCCAGGUUCAGCCAGGCCUGAGUCCCUUCCCUAGCUCUCUGUUUUGUGACCCGUACCCAGGGUACCUGAUGGGACAAAGAUGAUUGGUAGGGGGACAUUAAGUUGCCAUUUUACCCAUAGGAGGGCAAUUGUUGGUAAAUUUCCCAGUCUCCCAUCUCUGCCAGCCACUUGAUCCCCAACUUCCAUAAACUGUCCCCCCUUUCUUUUCUCCAUUUCCACUACCUUUUCUUGAUUGAAAGAUCUCUAAGAGGAAGAAAAAUCUGGGUUUUGGGUUCUCUUUAGGUUUCCUCCACUGUCUUUCCAGACCUCCCCAAUAAGUGGGGCUAUGUCUCCAGAGUCCAGGGGUGUCUGCUGAACACCUCAUCACUUGCUAACAUCACCCAGAGCCCAGGAGCUCAGGAUGGGGGAGGGGUGGGAUUACUGUGGCCCAGGCCACAGAGGUAGUUCCAGGGCAGGCUGGUAGAGGGCCUGUCCCCUGUUUCCCCAAACCCUUUGGGGCUUCUUGGCAGGGGUGGAGGAUGCUGUGUGGGGUCUUGACUUCUAGGCUUUGGGGGAGGCUCUUCAGAAAGAUAUCUGGAUCCCCUGGUUUCUAGGGGUGGGACCCUGAGAAAUCUUGGGGUGCUUCCUAGCAACAGUCUGGGAAGGAAGGAGGGAGGAAGGGAGAGAGGGCGGGGCCCAGGCAUAGCUGCUCUGAUGAGAGCGCAGAGAAC